GGGGAUACACUUAGAGUCCCCUGCAUGAGGGUGUUAAUAGCGCUUGCCGAAAAGGCCAGGCGGCGUGGUUAGUGAAUC
Regulatory RNA element from Prevotella sp. CAG:520, 78 nucleotides. It matches the Rfam family "L13-Bacteroidia ribosomal protein leader". Lineage: Bacteria; Pseudomonadati; Bacteroidota; Bacteroidia; Bacteroidales; Prevotellaceae. The record is from Rfam.